This 648-nucleotide ribosomal RNA is filed under the name Nocardioides marinus. Its description in RNAcentral is "bacterial SSU rRNA". It matches the Rfam family "Bacterial small subunit ribosomal RNA", at positions 102 to 763 of the family's 1533-position model. Lineage: Bacteria; Bacillati; Actinomycetota; Actinomycetes; Propionibacteriales; Nocardioidaceae. The record is from RNAcentral.
ACGGGUGAGUAACACGUGAGUAAUCUGCCUCUGGCUUCGGGAUAGCCACCGGAAACGGUGAUUAAUACCGGAUACGACACGCUCUUGCAUGAGAUGUGUGUGGAAAGUUUUUUCGGCCAGGGAUGUGCUCGCGGCCUAUCAGCUUGUUGGUGGGGUAAUGGCCUACCAAGGCUUCGACGGGUAGCCGGCCUGAGAGGGUGACCGGCCACACUGGGACUGAGACACGGCCCAGACUCCUACGGGAGGCAGCAGUGGGGAAUAUUGGACAAUGGGCGGAAGCCUGAUCCAGCAACGCCGCGUGAGGGAUGACGGCCUUCGGGUUGUAAACCUCUUUCAGCACAGACGAAGCGCAAGUGACGGUAUGUGCAGAAGAAGGACCGGCCAACUACGUGCCAGCAGCCGCGGUAAUACGUAGGGUCCGAGCGUUGUCCGGAAUUAUUGGGCGUAAAGGGCUCGUAGGCGGUUUGUCGCGUCGGGAGUGAAAACACCGGGCUUAACUCGGUGCUUGCUUUCGAUACGGGCAGACUAGAGGCAUUCAGGGGAGAACGGAAUUCCUGGUGUAGCGGUGAAAUGCGCAGAUAUCAGGAGGAACACCGGUGGCGAAGGCGGUUCUCUGGGAAUGUCCUGACGCUGAGGAGCGAAAGUGUG